RNAcentral lists this ribosomal RNA (439 nucleotides) under Lethocerus sp. 1 HHY-2022a. Its description in RNAcentral is "partial large subunit ribosomal RNA". It matches the Rfam family "Archaeal large subunit ribosomal RNA", at positions 1953 to 2592 of the family's 2987-position model. The record is from RNAcentral. Lineage: Eukaryota; Metazoa; Arthropoda; Insecta; Hemiptera; Belostomatidae.
GUCCUUUUGGUAUUUAUUUAAGGUCUAACCUGCCCAAUGAUUUUUCAAUGGCCGCGGUAAUUUGACCGUGCAAAGGUAGCAUAAUCACUUGUCUCUUAAAUGGAGGCUAGAAUGAAUGGUUGGACGAGAUAUAUACUUUCUUUGUUGUAUUAAGUUGAAUUUAAUUUUUGAGUUAAAAAGCUUAAAUUUUUUUAUGGGACGAGAAGACCCUGUAGAAUUUUAUAUUAAUUCAUUUUUAAUUGUUUUUGUUUAUUAUUGACUUUUUUAUUUGUUUUAAUAUUUUGUUGGGGCGACAGGAAGAUUUUUUAAACUCUUCUUAUUUUUUUUCACUGAUUUGUGUUUUUAUUUUGAUCCUUUAUUAAAGAUUAUUAGAUUGAAUUACCUCAGGGAUAACAGCGUAAUCCUUUUGGAGAGCUCUUAUCGAUAAAAGGGUUUGCGA